Molecule: long non-coding RNA, 591 nt
Organism: Pogoniulus pusillus (Red-fronted tinkerbird)
Lineage: Eukaryota; Metazoa; Chordata; Aves; Piciformes; Lybiidae
Exons: 4
Source: RefSeq, a predicted model, not a curated record
CCGGUUGGCUGCUGCCUGGGGGGGGCCAGCAGCGAGCACUGAGCACAGUGUCCCCUGCCCGGGGCAGCUUCCUGCCACCCAGCCAGGCAGCAGGCACUGGAGCCCCUUCCCCGGGGCCUGGGCACCAUCUAAAGAGACCUCCAUGCACUGAGUGAGUCCUCACAGCCCACACGUGGGUGUUCAAGGCCAGGCUGGAGGAGCCCUUGAGCAGCUGAGGGUAGUGGAGUCCCCAGCGUGGGAGCUGCAGGCAUUGGCUGUGCCCUGGUCCGUGGUUGGAGUUGGCUCACAAAGCUGAAUGAUGGUGAUAAAGCAGAGGCAGGUGGGGUCUUUGCUCCUCUGGGCCAGGCAGGGGCUGACCUUUCUGCCACCUCCAUUGUGUGCUGUGGUAAUCAGCUCGGGAGCCAGCUCUGGUCCUGGUGGCUGCAAGUGAAGGACUCGGAGCUAAAGCCAGCAGGUGGAGGAGGCACAGCCUGGGACUACUUUGGGCACUUCCUCGCCGAGUGAGGAGGGUGCAUGGAGGAGCUGAAGUGCCUUGAUCCUGCUGGAAGUGCUUGUGAGCUGAUGGUGCUGCCGACCCCAGGGAGCAGCAGA